This 234-nucleotide long non-coding RNA is filed under the name Nicotiana benthamiana. RNAcentral's name for it is "long non-coding RNA (NBEN_LNC037355)". Lineage: Eukaryota; Viridiplantae; Streptophyta; Magnoliopsida; Solanales; Solanaceae. The record is from RNAcentral.
CAUUUGCCAACACCUCAACCAACUCCCGGCUGCGGGGGUUAUUCCUCAGGUGCUCGUACAUCACGAGGCACCUAUCCCGAUAGCGGCGAUACUUCUCUAGUGCCCACAAGAAGAGUCCUGAGUAAACGUUGGCCCGACGCAUGCUCUCGACCUCCAAAAGAAAGGUUUGCAAGAUAAAAGCUGUGGUUAAGUUAGGAAGCAAACCAAGGAAAGAAAAGAAACGAAAGAAGAUCA